Cydia fagiglandana is the source of this 312-nucleotide long non-coding RNA. RefSeq lists it as uncharacterized. NCBI's taxonomy places the organism in Eukaryota, Metazoa, Arthropoda, Insecta, Lepidoptera, Tortricidae. The transcript has 3 exons. The record is from RefSeq and is a predicted model, not a curated record.
CAGUGUGCUAAAAUCGACUCGCAACACAGAGCCAAUCAGCGGGUAAUGGAGUUAUUGUCGAGACUAAACGAGCAUGUGGCAAAUUCCCAUGCCCGUGCCUUAGCAGAUGGGCCAUUGACAGGAGAUUACGUACACAUGGUCGACAUUCAUGGAGGAACUCCCAUAGGGCAUAAUCAUAAACCAAGCUUGAGGUGGCUCGUGAUUAACAAUUAAACUCAAUAAAUGGCAGGAAAGGUGAGGAGUGGUGGUGAAACAGGCCAUCUGUGUCAGCCAUGGCGUCAGCAUACUACUGUUGUUUUAUUGCCAUUUUGG